Podarcis lilfordi (Lilford's wall lizard) is the source of this 70-nucleotide non-coding RNA. NCBI's taxonomy places the organism in Eukaryota, Metazoa, Chordata, Lepidosauria, Squamata, Lacertidae. The record is from the annotation of a GenBank genome assembly.
GCUGUAGCUCAGUGGUUAGAGCAUAUGCCCUGCAUGCGGAAGGCGGCAGGUUCAGUCCCCACUGGCAGCA